CCCGGGCGGCACGGGUGGAGUAACACGUAUCCAACCUGCCGUCUACUCUUGGACAGCCUUCUGAAAGGAAGAUUAAUACAAGAUGGCAUCAUGGGUCCGCAUGUUCACAUGAUUAAAGGUAUUCCGGUAGACGAUGGGGAUGCGUUCCAUUAGAUAGUAGGCGGGGUAACGGCCCACCUAGUCUUCGAUGGAUAGGGGUUCUGAGAGGAAGGUCCCCCACAUUGGAACUGAGACACGGUCCAA
Molecule: ribosomal RNA, 243 nt
Filed under: uncultured bacterium
Lineage: Bacteria
Description: partial 16S ribosomal RNA
Rfam family: Bacterial small subunit ribosomal RNA
Source: RNAcentral